Molecule: ribosomal RNA, 1206 nt
Filed under: Curtobacterium oceanosedimentum
Lineage: Bacteria; Bacillati; Actinomycetota; Actinomycetes; Micrococcales; Microbacteriaceae
Description: bacterial SSU rRNA
Rfam family: Bacterial small subunit ribosomal RNA
Source: RNAcentral
CGAUGAUGCCCAGCUUGCUGGGUGGAUUAGUGGCGAACGGGUGAGUAACACGUGAGUAACCUGCCCCUGACUCUGGGAUAAGCGUUGGAAACGACGUCUAAUACUGGAUAUGACUGCCGGCCGCAUGGUCUGGUGGUGGAAAGAUUUUUUGGUUGGGGAUGGACUCGCGGCCUAUCAGCUUGUUGGUGAGGUAAUGGCUCACCAAGGCGACGACGGGUAGCCGGCCUGAGAGGGUGACCGGCCACACUGGGACUGAGACACGGCCCAGACUCCUACGGGAGGCAGCAGUGGGGAAUAUUGCACAAUGGGCGAAAGCCUGAUGCAGCAACGCCGCGUGAGGGAUGACGGCCUUCGGGUUGUAAACCUCUUUUAGUAGGGAAGAAGCGAAAGUGACGGUACCUGCAGAAAAAGCACCGGCUAACUACGUGCCAGCAGCCGCGGUAAUACGUAGGGUGCAAGCGUUGUCCGGAAUUAUUGGGCGUAAAGAGCUCGUAGGCGGUUUGUCGCGUCUGCUGUGAAAUCCCGAGGCUCAACCUCGGGCUUGCAGUGGGUACGGGCAGACUAGAGUGCGGUAGGGGAGAUUGGAAUUCCUGGUGUAGCGGUGGAAUGCGCAGAUAUCAGGAGGAACACCGAUGGCGAAGGCAGAUCUCUGGGCCGUAACUGACGCUGAGGAGCGAAAGCAUGGGGAGCGAACAGGAUUAGAUACCCUGGUAGUCCAUGCCGUAAACGUUGGGCGCUAGAUGUAGGGACCUUUCCACGGUUUCUGUGUCGUAGCUAACGCAUUAAGCGCCCCGCCUGGGGAGUACGGCCGCAAGGCUAAAACUCAAAGGAAUUGACGGGGGCCCGCACAAGCGGCGGAGCAUGCGGAUUAAUUCGAUGCAACGCGAAGAACCUUACCAAGGCUUGACAUACACCGGAAACGGCCAGAGAUGGUCGCCCCCUUGUGGUCGGUGUACAGGUGGUGCAUGGUUGUCGUCAGCUCGUGUCGUGAGAUGUUGGGUUAAGUCCCGCAACGAGCGCAACCCUCGUUCUAUGUUGCCAGCGCGUUAUGGCGGGGACUCAUAGGAAACUGCCGGGGUCAACUCGGAGGAAGGUGGGGAUGACGUCAAAUCAUCAUGCCCCUUAUGUCUUGGGCUUCACGCAUGCUACAAUGGCCGGUACAAAGGGCUGCGAUACCGUAAGGUGGAGCGAAUCCCAAAAAGCCGG